AGCAGCCGCGGUAAUUCCAGCUCCAAUAGCGUAUAUUAAAGUUGUUGCAGUUAAAAAGCUCGUAGUUGAAUUUCAGGGUCAGUAGGUUGGUCAUGCCACUGGUAUGUACUGGUCUCACUGAUUCCUCCUUCCUGAUGAACUGUAAUGCCAUUAAUUUGGUGUUGCAGGGAAUCUGGACUGUUACUUUGAAAAAAUUAGAGUGUUUAAAGCAGGCUAACGCCUGAAUACAUUAGCAUGGAAUAAUGAAAUAGGACGUUCGAUCCUAUUUUGUUGGUUUCUAGGAUUGACGUAAUGAUUAAUAGGGAUAGUUGGGGGCAUUAGUAUUCAAUUGUCAGAGGUGAAAUUCUUGGAUUUAUUGAAGACUAACUACUGCGAAAGCAUUUGCCAAGGAUGUUUUCAUUAAUCAAGAACGAAAGUUAGGGGAUCGAAGACGAUCAGAUACCGUCGUAGUCUUAACCAUAAACUAUGCCGACUAGGGAUCGGAUGAUGUUAAUUUUUUAAUGACUCA
This 508-nucleotide ribosomal RNA is filed under the name uncultured Glomus. RNAcentral describes it as "SSU rRNA". It matches the Rfam family "Eukaryotic small subunit ribosomal RNA", at positions 569 to 1078 of the family's 1831-position model. Lineage: Eukaryota; Fungi; Glomeromycota; Glomeromycetes; Glomerales; Glomeraceae. The record is from RNAcentral.